RNAcentral lists this unclassified non-coding RNA (249 nucleotides) under soil metagenome. RNAcentral's name for it is "partial contains small subunit ribosomal RNA, internal transcribed spacer 1, and 5.8S ribosomal RNA". The record is from RNAcentral.
UUUCCGUAGGUGAACCUGCGGAAGGAUCAUUAACAAAUCUAUAAAGUGUGGCGGUCCUUGUGUCCGCUUGCACACAUUAGCCCUAUAGCGUUCGACCAGGUUUACUUGGAACGAUCGCUAUGGUGUUGUGGUGGGGAUCGAGGUUGGAGACGACUUUGAUCUGUGCCAUAUAUUAACGCUUGUUUGUUUGACAGAGUUAGUUGUGACAAUAAUAAAUGACAACUUUUAACAAUGGAUCUCUUGGCUCUU